Molecule: long non-coding RNA, 505 nt
Organism: Prosopis cineraria
Lineage: Eukaryota; Viridiplantae; Streptophyta; Magnoliopsida; Fabales; Fabaceae
Exons: 3
Source: RefSeq, a predicted model, not a curated record
AAGGGGGGGUGGAAGGUUGUUGUUUCUAAGUCCCACAUUGGUUAGAUGAGGGAAGAGAAGAGGUGCCUUCAUGUAUAAAAAGGAGGGGGUGUGUGCAUUAGGAAGCAUGAGAGGCUAAGAUGCAAUUUAGAGAAAAUUGCAACUUUGGGCCCAAAGGUUUGAAUAAUUAAAUUCAAACCUAUAGUUUUUUUUUUAAUAUAAUUUUGGGACUCACAAUCCCAUUUUUAUAUUAUUUUUCUCUCUUCCUCUCACGUUGCUCGGCGUUUUCUCGCAAGGGGGGAUUAUUUUCUUUUUUCUUCAGAUUAUAUUGACAAAGAUAGUGGUGAAAAAGGAGUUGUGAAGGGGAACUUGUUAUUCAAGACACAAGGAGCGAAUCCGGCCGAGAAAGCACCAGAGGUGUAAUUAUGGUGUAUGAGACACCAUCUUUUACGUUGCCUCUUAUUUUGGAUUAUACAAUGUAUCUUGUGCCAACUUAGGACAUAUCUUGUCUAUGGAGCAUGUAAAC